AUCCUGGCUCAGAUUGAACGCUGGCGGCAUGCCUUACACAUGCAAGUCGAGCGGCAGCACGGGUGCUUGCACCUGGUGGCGAGUGGCGAACGGGUGAGUAAUACAUCGGAACGUACCUUAUCGUGGGGGAUAACGUAGUGAAAAUUACGCUAAUACCGCAUACGAUCUAAGGAUGAAAGCGGGGGAUCGAAAGACCUCGCGCGAUUGGAGCGGCCGAUGUCAGAUUAGCUAGUUGGUGGGGUAAAGGCCCACCAAGGCGACGAUCUGUAGCUGGUCUGAGAGGACGACCAGCCACACUGGGACUGAGACACGGCCCAGACUCCUACGGGAGGCAGCAGUGGGGAAUUUUGGACAAUGGGCGCAAGCCUGAUCCAGCAAUGCCGCGUGCAGGAAGAAGGCCUUCGGGUUGUAAACUGCUUUUGUACGGAACGAAAAGGUCUGGGUUAAUACCCUGGGCUCAUGACGGUACCGUAAGAAUAAGCACCGGCUAACUACGUG
Molecule: ribosomal RNA, 498 nt
Filed under: uncultured bacterium
Lineage: Bacteria
Description: bacterial SSU rRNA
Rfam family: Bacterial small subunit ribosomal RNA
Source: RNAcentral